Vidua macroura (Pin-tailed whydah) is the source of this 904-nucleotide long non-coding RNA. RefSeq lists it as uncharacterized. The transcript is spliced from 3 exons. The record is from RefSeq and is a predicted model, not a curated record. NCBI's taxonomy places the organism in Eukaryota, Metazoa, Chordata, Aves, Passeriformes, Viduidae.
UGCAGGGUUCUCUGAGCCUUAGAGGCUCGCCAUCAGUCUCAGCUAGGUCAUCUCAUUCUGCAGUCUCUGGCUCCCUGAGGGCAUUCUUCUCGCCCAGAGCUUUCUCCCCCUGUUGUGUCCCCUUGUUUGUCUUGUUCUGUGUCACGGGUGUCUGGGUAUUUGGCCUGGAGCUGCUCUGCCCUGCUGCAUAGCCUGGUGUAGGUCUAGAAUGGGGCAUGUCCUGGGGCCUGGAAAUUUGUAAUGUGGGGUGUAUUUGGACUCUAGAUGGGAUCUGUAGAUUGAUGAAGGCUACCUGGAGCUGUUAAGUUAUCCUGCAGUGCUCUGACUUUUGUGCUAACGUUCUUUCAGACGCAGCCAGAUGGAAUCCGUGGCAGAGGGCCCCGUCCCGGGUGAGGGGGUCCCCCAAGAAGGAACUAAACCAGAUACUAGCAGUCAAGGCGGUCCGCUUCUGUUACAACGAGACCACAUCCGCAAGUGGCCAAUGGACCCCGGUUUUCACUUCUGUGGGAAUUGAUAUUGUGAAUUAAUUUUUUGUUGGAAUAUGUGGGUAUUUUGUGUUGUUUUUGAUAUAUUAUUGUUUUAAAUUAUAGGUGUGAUAUUUUGAGGUAACUUCUUUGUGGUUUCAGGGGUUUUUUUGUUUAUUUGUUUGUUUAUUUUUUUGUAUGUAUUUAUUUUUCAUGGAUUUAUUUUUAAUGUCUUUUGUAAUUUGUAGUAUUGUAAUUUAAUUGUCAUUUGGGAUAAGAGUGUAUAAAUGUUAUUUUAAGUUUAUGUUAUGUGGAGGAAUUUUUGUAUUUACUGUUUGAAUUCUGUGAGGGAUAAGGUUAGAUGUGAAGAGGUAUACUUAACAAGGCAUUUAGAAAAUAGAUUUUUAGGAUUGGUGUCCAAUAAACAUGGUGUGUUUGUA